UUGACGGGGACCCGCACAAGCGUGGAUGAUGUGGUUUAAUUCGAUGCAACGCGAAAAACCUUACCACCCUUGACAUGUCUGGAAUCUUGGUGAGAGCCGAGGGUGCCUUCGGGAGCCAGAACACAGGUGCUGCAUGGCUGUCGUCAGCUCGUGUCGUGAGAUGUUGGGUUAAGUCCCGCAACGAGCGCAACCCUUAUCAUUAGUUGCUACGCAAGGGCACUCUAAUGAGACUGCCGGUGACAAACCGGAGGAAGGUGGGGAUGACGUCAAGUCCUCAUGGCCCUUAUGGGUAGGGCUUCACACGUCAUACAAUGGUCGGUACAGAGGGUUGCCAAGCCGCGAGGCGGAGCCAAUCCCACAAAGCCGAUCGUAGUCCGGAUUGUUCUCUGCAACUCGAGAGCAUGAAGUCGGAAUCGCUAGUAAUCGCAGGUCAGCAUACUGCGGUGAAUACGUUCCCGGGUCUU
RNAcentral lists this ribosomal RNA (464 nucleotides) under uncultured Thiobacillus sp. RNAcentral describes it as "bacterial SSU rRNA". It matches the Rfam family "Bacterial small subunit ribosomal RNA", at positions 910 to 1382 of the family's 1533-position model. The record is from RNAcentral. Lineage: Bacteria; Pseudomonadati; Pseudomonadota; Betaproteobacteria; Nitrosomonadales; Thiobacillaceae.